GAUGAACGCUGGCGGCGUGCCUAAUACAUGCAAGUCGAGCGAACGGACGAGAAGCUUGCUUCUCUGAUGUUAGCGGCGGACGGGUGAGUAACACGUGGAUAACCUACCUAUAAGACUGGGAUAACUUCGGGAAACCGGAGCUAAUACCGGAUAAUAUUUUGAACCGCAUGGUUCAAAAGUGAAAGACGGUCUUGCUGUCACUUAUAGAUGGAUCCGCGCUGCAUUAGCUAGUUGGUAAGGUAACGGCUUACCAAGGCAACGAUGCAUAGCCGACCUGAGAGGGUGGUAGGCCACACUGGAACUGAGACACGGUCCAGACUCCUACGGGAGGCAGCAGUAGGGAAUCUUCCGCAAUGGGCGAAAGCCUGACGGAGCAACGCCGCGUGAGUGAUGAAGGUCUUCGGAUCGUAAAACUCUGUUAUUAGGGAAGAACAUAUGUGUAAGUAACUGUGCACAUCUUGACGGUACCUAAUCAGAAAGCCACGGCUAACUACGUG
RNAcentral lists this ribosomal RNA (497 nucleotides) under uncultured bacterium. RNAcentral describes it as "partial 16S ribosomal RNA". It matches the Rfam family "Bacterial small subunit ribosomal RNA", at positions 28 to 507 of the family's 1533-position model. The record is from RNAcentral.